UACGGAAGGUCCGGGCGUUAUCCGGAUUUAUUGGGUUUAAAGGGAGCGUAGGCCGGAGAUUAAGCGUGUUGUGAAAUGUAGAUGCUCAACAUCUGAACUGCAGCGCGAACUGGUUUCCUUGAGUACGCAUAAAGUGGGCGGAAUUCGUGGUGUAGCGGUGAAAUGCUUAGAUAUCACGAAGAACUCCGAUUGCGAAGGCAGCUCACUGGGGCGCAACUGACGCUGAAGCUCGAAAGCGCGGGUAUCGAACAGGAUUAGAUACCCCGGUAGGACUGACU
This 278-nucleotide ribosomal RNA is filed under the name Segatella copri DSM 18205. RNAcentral's name for it is "Prevotella copri DSM 18205 partial 16S ribosomal RNA". It matches the Rfam family "Bacterial small subunit ribosomal RNA", at positions 524 to 801 of the family's 1533-position model. The record is from RNAcentral. Lineage: Bacteria; Pseudomonadati; Bacteroidota; Bacteroidia; Bacteroidales; Prevotellaceae.